Vespa crabro (European hornet) is the source of this 2356-nucleotide RNA transcript. It is a transcript of the gene named secapin-like, with no coding region annotated. Lineage: Eukaryota; Metazoa; Arthropoda; Insecta; Hymenoptera; Vespidae. The record is from RefSeq and is a predicted model, not a curated record. The transcript has 5 exons.
AAAAGCAUGGGAUAUAUCCAUGUUGAAGCCAGUAGAUAGAAAACGUAGAAAGACGAAGGAAUAACGCGACGGAAUUAAUUUUCGGUUUUGUGAUAUCGUGUAAUAAUAAAGUAUCGUUUAAAGAUAAGUUUGUUAAGUUUAAGGAUUUAUUUAAAUCUUCGAGGCCUUUGAAAAAUAAUCCUUCCUUUAAUAAUCGAUCUGAUCGCUUUCGAAGAAAGAACUUUUAACGCGAACAAUAUACCGUGAUUGAUAAUAAUAGAAUUAAUCUGGUCUUGCUCGUUAAUUAUUUUACCUUUCCAUCUUUUUUUCUCUUUUUAUAUAUUUGUUUCUUUGAUCUUUUCUUUUUUUCUCUUUUUUUAUUCACCAAUUUAAGAACUACGAAUUAUCCUUACCGAGAGAGAAGGAACGAUUAAUCUCGCUCUCUCUCUCUCUCUCUCUCUCUUUUUAUCGAAAGAUUAUCGUUAUUUACGUUUUUUUUUUUUAGAAGAAAGAAAGAAAAAGAAAAAGAAAAAAAAAAAAAGAAAGAAAGAAAUCAAACGUAAUAACGAAAUACUUAAGAUAAUUCUUAAUAAUAACAAAUUAAAACGGAUAUAAGACCAUAAAGAAAAAGAUGAAUUAUCAAAAAUGGAUUCUAACGUUGAAAUGUUUUUUAUUGAUUUACAUUGUAUACGUCGUAAGAGCAGACGAUCGAUUAAAAGAGAAGAAGAAUAUGAUUAAUAAGCUCGAUGAUAAAAAUGAUUUUGUUCCAUUUAAUCGAGAUACAGUGAUAGAUACGAGAAAUGACUUAAUAAUACGGGCACCUGUAAGAAGAAGAAUCAUUUGUGAAUAUGAUAGAAGACCGGACGCUUUUGGAAGAUGUAGGAAGAAGUUGUAAAUGAACAUUAUGAUCGAACGAUCAUUACAAGCCGAUGGGAAAAGGACGUAAACAUAAGAAAUAAAGAUAAGAAAGAAAUUUGCAAAAAAGAAAAAAAGAAAAAAAGAAAAAAAAAAAAAGAAAGAAAGAAAAAGAAAAAAGAAGAGAAAAAAUUGUUUCAUCGUCUCAACUCAGAUCGAGUUAAUAUCCUUAAGUACGGUGUGAAAGAGGAUAACAAUAAUUACAAGAGAGAAAGCUAUAAAAAGGAAAACAAAAAAAAAAGAAAAAAAAAAGAAAAAAGAAUAAGAAAAAGAGAAAGGCAUGAUACCCUUUCGUUUUUUUCUAAUCGUCAUUCUUCUGUCAUUGACGUUUCGGCUUGGAACCGAGGCCUUCUCGUGGAUCAUUCCGAUCAAUAAAAGAAUCAAAAGUCAUUCUCGAUGUCCGGACGGAUAUAAAAUGAAUGUUCGAGGGAAAUGUCGGCGCGUUUUAUAUAAAUAUUAAGGUUUAAGAAAGUACGAGAUGGUACCAAUCGGAGUUUGAAAAUCAUAGAAGGGAAACGUGCAACAUUAGAAGCACGUUAUUUUAUCUCUUAUUCAUUUAAUAAUGUAUCCAUCGUAUCAAAAUGAUCGACCUGAAUGAUCGCCGACAAAAAGUUGGUGUCAAUUUUUCUUCAUUGGAAAUCGACUUUGUUGAAGAAGAAGAAAAAGAAGAAGAAGAAGAAGAGGAAGAAGAGAAAGAGAAGGAGAAGGAAGAGGAGAUAGGAGAAGGAGGAGGAGGAGGAGGAGGAGGAGGAGAAGAAGAUUGGAACGUCAAAAUGUUUUUAUGAUAUAUAAUAAGUAUGUACGUAACAUGGCCUCCCUUUUCGCUCAGAUAUAAGUAUUCAUAGAAUAAAUAGAAACUCGUAUCGUUCUUUAAAAAGUCAUCGAAAUUGGAUUGCGUCUUUUAUAAAAAAAAAAAAAGGGGGGGGGGGAGGAAAAAAAGAUAAAUAAGAAGAAGAAGAAGAAGAAAAAGAAGAAAAUAGAAUAAAAGAGAUGAUCGUGUUGGAUUGUCCAUGACGAUGUAAAUUCUCCGAGAGGAGAUAAAUCGUGCACUUUUGACCUUUGUGAGAGCGAUACGCUUUGCCAAGAGGUCGGUCAAAACUCGAAAGAGAGAGAGACAGAGACGAGAAGAGACAGAGAAAGAGAGAAAGAAAGAAAAAAAAGAAAAAAAAGAAAGAAAGGAGAGAAAGAAAGAAUAGAGAAGAGAAAGAGAGAGAGAGAGAGAGAGAGAGAUACGUACGUACGGAGAAGCCAGUAGAAGAGUUUCGAUCGUACUCUUUCGCUUCUCGAGUGCGAGCUCUCUCCUCAGUAUCUUUGUUCGAGUCUGUCGUGAAUGAGAUCCGGUACUCGAGUUAGAAGCGCGUUUAUUACGUAGUGUAGACGAUAAAGGUUGAACGAAUUCUUGGGGAAGCUGUUAAGAAUUCGAGAAAUUUCAAAUAUCUCCAUGUAGAAAUCCGACGAAGGU